Molecule: unclassified non-coding RNA, 235 nt
Filed under: Cylindrospermopsis raciborskii NRERC-502
Lineage: Bacteria; Bacillati; Cyanobacteriota; Cyanophyceae; Nostocales; Aphanizomenonaceae
Also listed under: 3 other names
Description: partial 16S-23S ribosomal RNA intergenic spacer
Source: RNAcentral
UAGGGAGACCUACCCAUUGAAGAAUCGAAAGCCGAAGGCGAAUAGAGAAUCAAAUGGUCUACUCUAGGUCGGUCGAGAAUUGGUCAAGUCUCUUUCAAAGUAUUAUAUUUCCGGUGAUUCCCAGCAACUAGGAAAGACCUAGACUGCUGGUGAGAACCAGCCAGAACCUUGAAAACUGCAUAUAGAUAGAUAAGAGAGCCGAAAUCGAAAGAUAGAAGCAAGUGAAAAACCAAGU